UACGUAGGGUGCGAGCGUUAAUCGGAAUUACUGGGCGUAAAGGGUGCGCAGGCGGUUAUAUAAGACAGAUGUGAAAUCCCCGGGCUCAACCUGGGAACUGCGUUUGUGACUGUAUGACUAGAGUACGGUAGAGAGGGGUGGAAUUCCUGGUGUAGCAGUGAAAUGCGUAGAUAUCAGGAGGAACAUCGAUGGCGAAGGCA
This 200-nucleotide ribosomal RNA is filed under the name uncultured bacterium. RNAcentral's name for it is "partial 16S ribosomal RNA". It matches the Rfam family "Bacterial small subunit ribosomal RNA", at positions 524 to 723 of the family's 1533-position model. The record is from RNAcentral.